Molecule: ribosomal RNA, 502 nt
Filed under: Escherichia coli
Lineage: Bacteria; Pseudomonadati; Pseudomonadota; Gammaproteobacteria; Enterobacterales; Enterobacteriaceae
Description: bacterial SSU rRNA
Rfam family: Bacterial small subunit ribosomal RNA
Source: RNAcentral
AAAUUGAAGAGUUUGAUCAUGGCUCAGAUUGAACGCUGGCGGCAGGCCUAACACAUGCAAGUCGAACGGUAACAGGAAGAAGCUUGCUUCUUUGCUGACGAGUGGCGGACGGGUGAGUAAUGUCUGGGAAGCUGCCUGAUGGAGGGGGAUAACUACUGGAAACGGUAGCUAAUACCGCAUAACGUCGCAAGACCAAAGAGGGGGACCUUCGGGCCUCUUGCCAUCGGAUGUGCCCAGAUGGGAUUAGCUAGUAGGUGGGGUAACGGCUCACCUAGGCGACGAUCCCUAGCUGGUCUGAGAGGAUGACCAGCCACACUGGAACUGAGACACGGUCCAGACUCCUACGGGAGGCAGCAGUGGGGAAUAUUGCACAAUGGGCGCAAGCCUGAUGCAGCCAUGCCGCGUGUAUGAAGAAGGCCUUCGGGUUGUAAAGUACUUUCAGCGGGGAGGAAGGGAGUAAAGUUAAUACCUUUGCUCAUUGACGUUACCCGCAGAAGAAGCA